RNAcentral lists this ribosomal RNA (384 nucleotides) under uncultured bacterium. RNAcentral describes it as "bacterial SSU rRNA". It matches the Rfam family "Bacterial small subunit ribosomal RNA", at positions 28 to 417 of the family's 1533-position model. The record is from RNAcentral.
GACGAACGCUGGCGGCGUGCUUAACACAUGCAAGUCGAGCGGUAAGGCCCUUCGGGUACACGAGCGGCGAACGGGUGAGUAACACGUGGGUGACCUGCCUUUAGCUCUGGGAUAAGCCUGGGAAACUGGGUCUAAUACCGGAUAUGACCUCAUGAUGCAUGUUGUGGGGUGGAAAGCCUUGUGCGGCUGGAGAUGGGCCCGCGGCCUAUCAGCUUGUUGGUGGGGUGAGGCCUACCAAGGCGACGACGGGUAGCCGGCCUGAGAGGGCGACCGGCCACACUGGGACUGAGACACGGCCCAGACUCCUACGGGAGGCAGCAGUGGGGAAUCUUGCGCAAUGGGCGAAAGCCUGACGCAGCGACGCCGCGUGAGGGAUGACGGCCU